RNAcentral lists this ribosomal RNA (253 nucleotides) under uncultured bacterium. RNAcentral's name for it is "partial 16S ribosomal RNA". It matches the Rfam family "Bacterial small subunit ribosomal RNA", at positions 524 to 776 of the family's 1533-position model. The record is from RNAcentral.
UACGUAGGGUGCGAGCGUUGUCCGGAAUUAUUGGGCGUAAAGGGCUCGUAGGCGGUCUGUCGCGUCGGGCGUGAAAACUCAGGGCUUAACCCUGAGCCUGCUUCCGAUACGGGCAGACUAGAGGUAUGCAGGGGAGAACGGAAUUCCUGGUGUAGCGGUGGAAUGCGCAGAUAUCAGGAGGAACACCGGUGGCGAAGGCGGGUCUCUGGGCCGAUACUGACGCUGAGGAGCGAAAGCGUGGGGAGCGAACAGG